This 253-nucleotide ribosomal RNA is filed under the name uncultured bacterium. RNAcentral describes it as "partial 16S ribosomal RNA". It matches the Rfam family "Bacterial small subunit ribosomal RNA", at positions 524 to 776 of the family's 1533-position model. The record is from RNAcentral.
UACGAAGGGGGCUAGCGUUGCUCGGAAUCACUGGGCGUAAAGGGUGCGUAGGCGGGUCUUUAAGUCAGAGGUGAAAUCCUGGAGCUCAACUCCAGAACUGCCUUUGAUACUGAGGAUCUUGAGUUCGGGAGAGGUGAGUGGAACUGCGAGUGUAGAGGUGAAAUUCGUAGAUAUUCGCAAGAACACCAGUGGCGAAGGCGGCUCACUGGCCCGAUACUGACGCUGAGGCACGAAAGCGGGGGGAGCAAACAGG